RNAcentral lists this ribosomal RNA (709 nucleotides) under Shewanella gelidimarina. Its description in RNAcentral is "bacterial SSU rRNA". It matches the Rfam family "Bacterial small subunit ribosomal RNA", at positions 242 to 961 of the family's 1533-position model. The record is from RNAcentral. Lineage: Bacteria; Pseudomonadati; Pseudomonadota; Gammaproteobacteria; Alteromonadales; Shewanellaceae.
UAGCUAGUUGGUGAGGUAAUGGCUCACCAAGGCGACGAUCCCUAGCUGGUCUGAGAGGAUGAUCAGCCACACUGGAACUGAGACACGGUCCAGACUCCUACGGGAGGCAGCAGUGGGGAAUAUUGCACAAUGGGCGAAAGCCUGAUGCAGCCAUGCCGCGUGUAUGAAGAAGGCCUUCGGGUUGUAAAGUACUUUCAGCGAGGAGGAAAGCUCAAGCGUUAAUAGCGCUUGGGUGUGACGUUACUCGCAGAAGAAGCACCGGCUAACUUCGUGCCAGCAGCCGCGGUAAUACGAGGGGUGCAAGCGUUAAUCGGAAUUACUGGGCGUAAAGCGUACGCAGGCGGUUUGUUAAGCGAGAUGUGAAAGCCCCGGGCUCAACCUGGGAACUGCAUUUCGAACUGGCAAACUAGAGUCUUGUAGAGGGGGGUAGAAUUUCAGGUGUAGCGGUGAAAUGCGUAGAGAUCUGAAGGAAUACCGGUGGCGAAGGCGGCCCCCUGGACAAGACUGACGCUCAUGUACGAAAGCGUGGGGAGCAACAGGAUUAGAUACCCUGGUAGUCCACGCCGUAACGAUGUCUACUCGGAUUUGGUGUCUUGAACACUGGGUUCUAAGCUAAGCAUUAGUAGACGCCUGGGGAGUCGGCCGCAGGUUAAACUCAAUGAAUUGACGGGGGCCGCACAGCGGUGAACAUGUGGUUAAUUCAUGCACG